CCUACGGGAUGCAGCCGUGGGGAAUAUUGCACAAUGGGGGAAACCCUGAUGCAGCGACGCAGCGUGAGUGAAGACGUAUCUCGGUAUGUAAAGCUCUAUCUGCAGGGGAGAAAAUGACGGUACCUGUAUAAGAAGCCCCGGCUAAAUACGUGCCAGCAGCCGCGGUACUACGUAGGGGGCCAGCGUUAUCCGGAUUUACUGGGUGUAAAGGGAGCGUAGACGGCGCUGCAAGUCCGUAGUGAAAGCCCAUGGCUUAACCAUGGUACUGCUCUGGAAACUGUGGAGCUUGAGUACGGGAGGGGCAGGCGGAAUUCCUAGUGUAGCGGUGAAAUGCGUAGAUAUUAGGAGGAACACCGGCGGCGAAGGCGGCCUGCUGGACCGUAACUGACGUUGAGGCUCGAAAGCGUGGGGAGCAAACAGGAUUAGAUACCCGAGUAGUC
This 440-nucleotide ribosomal RNA is filed under the name uncultured bacterium. Its description in RNAcentral is "partial 16S ribosomal RNA". It matches the Rfam family "Bacterial small subunit ribosomal RNA", at positions 338 to 795 of the family's 1533-position model. The record is from RNAcentral.